Molecule: long non-coding RNA, 401 nt
Organism: Perca fluviatilis (European perch)
Lineage: Eukaryota; Metazoa; Chordata; Actinopteri; Perciformes; Percidae
Exons: 3
Source: RefSeq, a predicted model, not a curated record
GUGCAGCAGAGGCAGAGAGCAGAGAGGAGUUUGUGGAGACAUUAUAAUAAGAACCUACAUUUCCAGGACUUUUUUAAAGCUGAGAUCACAGCUACCAGCCUUGGACCAGACCUUGUUCUGGUCUCAGCCUCCAGCUUGUUUACAUCCUCGAGGUACCCCCAGUGGAAGUAGGCUGUAGAGGGUUGGUAGCCUCCUCAACAUCCAGGCUGCUCAGGGAGAUGGGAGUGGGAGGGGAGGCCCAUCGGCAGGCCAUCAAAGACCUCUCCAGGGCUGCUGAAAAGGAGAGCCAGUGGCUGUGGAUGAAAAGAAAGGACUCCUGGGCCUUCAAGGAGUGAACGUGGGACGCUGGGAUCCACUGCUGAACCCUCGGGAGGUGUCGGGGGCCUAUCAGCAGAACACCU